This is a non-coding RNA of Rattus norvegicus (Norway rat), 390 nucleotides long. The record is from RefSeq and is a predicted model, not a curated record. NCBI's taxonomy places the organism in Eukaryota, Metazoa, Chordata, Mammalia, Rodentia, Muridae.
UAAAUCCCCAACCCCCAGUAAAGGUUUUAUAAUCAUAGUAGCCAUGUCCUUGGGUCUUGGCAAGUGGCAACAACAACAGGAAGUGUCUUCCUGGAGGGAGUGUCUGCCUACCGGAAGUGUCUGCCUACGGCUUACAAAGAUUAUCGUUUGAUUUUCACUAUUACCUAGUCCGGUUGCUUCGAAGGAGCUUCUUCCAAGCUACUCAGUUCACUCGAGAGUCUUUGCAGCAAGACACUCUGGAAACAAGAGCAGGAGGAUGGCCAUCUAGGAGCCAGUUGUAGCUACAAAGGGAGACCUUGUCACAAAACAACCACACAAGCACGCGAAGACCACAGAAGGGAACCGGAGAAGAAAAGCUCGCCGGUAUCAUUAAACCCAUUGCAUCUCUAA